GACGAACGCUGGCGGCGUGCUUAACACAUGCAAGUCGAACGGAAAGGCCCUGCUUUUGUGGGGUGCUCGAGUGGCGAACGGGUGAGUAACACGUGAGUAACCUGCCCUUGACUUUGGGAUAACUUCAGGAAACUGGGGCUAAUACCGGAUAGGAGCUCCUGCUGCAUGGUGGGGGUUGGAAAGUUUCGGCGGUUGGGGAUGGACUCGCGGCUUAUCAGCUUGUUGGUGGGGUAGUGGCUUACCAAGGCUUUGACGGGUAGCCGGCCUGAGAGGAUGACCGGCCGCAUGGGGACUGAGAUACGGCCCAGACUCAUACGGGAGGUAACAGUGGGGAAUAUUGCGCGAUGUGCGGAAGCCUGAUGCAGCAACGCUGCGUGCGGGAUGACGACCUUCGGGUUGUAAACCGCUUUCGCCUGUGACGAGGCGUGGGUGACGGUAAUGGGUAAAGAAGCACCGGGUAACUACGUG
This 468-nucleotide ribosomal RNA is filed under the name uncultured bacterium. RNAcentral's name for it is "partial 16S ribosomal RNA". It matches the Rfam family "Bacterial small subunit ribosomal RNA", at positions 28 to 507 of the family's 1533-position model. The record is from RNAcentral.